RNAcentral lists this ribosomal RNA (305 nucleotides) under uncultured bacterium. Its description in RNAcentral is "bacterial SSU rRNA". It matches the Rfam family "Bacterial small subunit ribosomal RNA", at positions 334 to 655 of the family's 1533-position model. The record is from RNAcentral.
ACCCCCCUAGGGAGGCAGCAGUGGGGAAUAUUGCACAAUGGGGGGAACCCUGAUGCAGCGACGCCGCGUGAGUGAAGAAGUAUUUCGGUAUGUAAAGCUCUGUCAGCAGGGAAGAAGAAAGACGGUACCUGACCAAGAAGCCCCGGCUAACUACGUGCCAGCAGCCGCGGUAAUACGUAGGGGGCAAGCGUUAUCCGGAUUUACUGGGUGUAAAGGGAGCGUAGACGGCAGGGCAAGUCUGGAGUGAAAGGCAGGGGCCCAACCCCUGGACUGCUCUGGAAACUGUCCGGCUGGAGGGCAGGAGG